RNAcentral lists this ribosomal RNA (447 nucleotides) under Triticum aestivum (bread wheat). RNAcentral describes it as "partial small subunit ribosomal RNA". The record is from RNAcentral. Lineage: Eukaryota; Viridiplantae; Streptophyta; Magnoliopsida; Poales; Poaceae.
AUGGGGACCCGUGCCCUUCCGCUCCCUUGCCAAUUCGAGCUCCUCCUCGGCGAAGACCGUGACCGGUGGCUGCCGGAGGCCAGGUUCAUCGAGGCCGCCCACCGCGGCGACGUCCGCGGCAUCAAGGAGAUUGCAAAGGAGCUGGACGUGCACGGGCAUGGGAUCCCGGUGACGGUGGCCAGCACGAGCUACAUGGGCAUGAACGCGCUCCACGCCGCUGGCAGCCGCGGCAGGCUGCCCACGUACGAGUACCUCGUCGAGGAGGUCAAGAUGGACAUCAACAAGCCUGACACCUCCCAGGAUUAUUCACCCGUGGAGCAUGCCGUUACCUAUGGCAACCUUCCUGCCGUCAGGUACCUUCUUAUCAAGGCGCCGAUGUGCAUCAACAACGUUCAGGAAACAUCAGUCUUCUUCAUUCAGCUGCAGCUCAUGGGCAUUGUGAAAUAG